This 253-nucleotide ribosomal RNA is filed under the name uncultured bacterium. Its description in RNAcentral is "partial 16S ribosomal RNA". It matches the Rfam family "Bacterial small subunit ribosomal RNA", at positions 524 to 776 of the family's 1533-position model. The record is from RNAcentral.
UACGUAGGGGGCAAGCGUUGUGCGGAAUUAUUGGGCGUAAAGAGCGUGUAGGCGGCCAGAUAAGUCCGCUGUGAAAUCUCGAGGCUCAACUUCGAGCUGUCGGUGGAAACUAUCUGGCUAGAGUCCGGAAGAGGAGAAUGGAAUUCCUGGUGUAGCGGUGGAAUGCGCAGAUAUCAGGAAGAACACCCGUGGCGAAGGCGGUUCUCUGGGACGGUACUGACGCUGAGACGCGAAAGCGUGGGGAGCAAACAGG